UACGUAGGGGGCAAGCGUUGUCCGGAAUCAUUGGGCGUAAAGCGCGCGCAGGCGGCUUGGUUAGUCGGAUGUGAAAAUCCGGGGCUCAACCCCGGACCUGCAUCCGAUACUGCCAGGCUAGAGGCAGGUAGGGGAGAUCGGAAUUCCUGGUGUAGCGGUGAAAUGCGCAGAUAUCAGGAGGAACACCGGUGGCGAAGGCGGAUCUCUGGGCCUGUCCUGACGCUCAGGCGCGAAAGCUAGGGGAGCAAACAGG
This 253-nucleotide ribosomal RNA is filed under the name uncultured bacterium. RNAcentral's name for it is "partial 16S ribosomal RNA". It matches the Rfam family "Bacterial small subunit ribosomal RNA", at positions 524 to 776 of the family's 1533-position model. The record is from RNAcentral.